This 253-nucleotide ribosomal RNA is filed under the name uncultured bacterium. RNAcentral's name for it is "partial 16S ribosomal RNA". It matches the Rfam family "Bacterial small subunit ribosomal RNA", at positions 524 to 776 of the family's 1533-position model. The record is from RNAcentral.
UACGGAGGGUGCUAGCGUUGUUCGGAAUUACUGGGCGUAAAGGGCGCGUAGGCGGCCGUUUGCGUCGGAUGUGAAAGCCCGGGGCUCAACCUCGGAACGGCAUUCGAUACGGGACGGCUGGAGACCGGGAGAGGAGAGUGGAAUAGCCAGUGUAGAGGUGAAAUUCGUAGAUAUUCGGAAGAACACCAGUGGCGAAGGCGACUAAUUGGACAUGUAUUGACGCUGAGGUACGAAAGCUAGGGGAGCAAACGGG